Long non-coding RNA from Sciurus carolinensis (gray squirrel), 1362 nucleotides. RefSeq lists it as uncharacterized. Lineage: Eukaryota; Metazoa; Chordata; Mammalia; Rodentia; Sciuridae. The record is from RefSeq and is a predicted model, not a curated record. The transcript has 4 exons.
CCAUAGGAACCGGGCUGAGGGCAGGGAAGUUGGAGCUUAGGAACUUGAUGGGCUGAGUGAUGAAGUAGCAGUUGGGGGUGCAGUUGGAGCUCCUGAGCAGGGCGGAGUUGGGAGUGGCUGCGGGAAGAGCAGGCCGGGGCUGAGUCCCAAAUUUUGGGUUAAAGUCCCGAUUGAAGGGUAGGAUUUGGAGUUUAAGACUGAAGCGAGGCAGGGCUGUUCCUACCCAGGUAGGAAUUGGGAUGGGGCUGAGUUUAAUGCCUUGGGAACGUGCCCACAAAUGCCGCAAUAGGAGAUGGAGCUUGGAAGCAGGGCCAGGCUGUGAGUUACUAUGUAGUAGUUGUGGGCGGAACUGAGAGUACCAGGUAGAGUGGGGUGGAUUUAUGGGAGGAGUAGGGAAGGGUUCGUGAGUGCUGAGGUUUCAGAGUGGCCUGUGCACAGGUGUGAGAGCUGGGUUAGGAGGUGAGGGAAGAAGUGUGGGCCUGUGAGUCCUUACUGUAGCAGGAUUGGGGGCAUCACUGUAGGAGGGGUAAGGGAAGAGCAAGGAGGUUUAUGGGAAAUAGUUGAGGGUUUAUUUUUUAUUUUUUUAGAGAUUGAACCCAGGGGCGCUUAAACACAGAGCCACAUCCCCAGCCCUUUUUCACAUUGACUCACAGUGCAGGUAGGGGCAUCUUCCAGGCUGAACUUUGAACCCUGGAACCUGAACCUAGGCAGCAUUAGUUAGAUAAUUGUUAAGAGGAAAGAAUGGCUACCUCUGGGUUAGGGGCUAGGAAGGUCUCAGACAACCAGGUUUUCCAGGUACUGAUACAUGUUCACUGGCAAUAAAGCACAGGAGAAAUGUUCCUCUUUGGAUGUGGACAACUCUGAAAUGAGACAUUUACCAGGGAAGAUGAAGUCCCUUGAGAGUAGAAUUUGCUCUACUGAUUAUCAUGUUUUCUACUAUAGUACCAAAGACACCCUUGACUAUAUUUUUAACAAGUGUGUAGUUUUUUUCCAGACAAGAUUAUAUUGUAUUUUCUGCAAGGUCUGCAUCCUGGAGGCUGUCCAGGGGUUUUUAUCUUCUGCAUGAAGAUUUCUUUCAGAGAAGAAGUGUAUUUGGCUCACAGUUCUGGAGGCUGGGAAAUGCAAAGACAUGAUGCUGGCAUCUGGAACACCAUGUCAUAACAUGACAGCAGGUGAAAAGAAAGCAACAUUUCAACCAAGAACCAAGUAGAAAUUGUGAUAUCUUCUCAACAUCCUGAGCUUCCAUUUCUACCUCAGAAGGGACUCCUUUGUUUUUAGAAGCUAAAGGAAAUCUUGUAAUCCAGUUACUUUCCAAGGUCAAUUCUAUUUGAAUGUUGGAUAGAUACCUUCCCAAGCAUUGUG